UUCCUAUAAAGCAAUGAAUAGCGCGUUGGACUUCUGAUCCAAAGAUCGUGGGUUCGAAUCCCACUAGGUUGGUUUAA
Molecule: non-coding RNA, 77 nt
Organism: Trichonephila clavipes
Lineage: Eukaryota; Metazoa; Arthropoda; Arachnida; Araneae; Nephilidae
Source: the annotation of a GenBank genome assembly